GGAUGUGAGGGCGAUCUGGCUGUGACAUCUGUCACCUCAUUGAUCGCCAGGGUUGAUUCAGCUGAUCUGGCUGGCUAGGUGGGUGUCCCCUUCCUCCCUCAUUGCUCCAUGUGCGUCCCUCCUGAAGCUGCACACUCGGUCAGAGAGGACGACCCCCCCCAUAGAGGAGGACCAUUUCCUCGGUCAAGGGUAUACGAGUAGCUGCACUCCCGUGCUAGAACCUCCAAAUAAGCUCUCAAGAAAUUAAAUCAUAUCAAAUUAUAGGUCACAUUUGUGAGUGUCACCUGUAUUCCCACACUUUUAUACUUUUCCUGAAAGUUGCAAACAUUU
Molecule: non-coding RNA, 330 nt
Organism: Heterocephalus glaber (naked mole-rat)
Lineage: Eukaryota; Metazoa; Chordata; Mammalia; Rodentia; Bathyergidae
Source: Rfam